GACAGCGGAGCCAAGCGUUGUCCGGAUUGACUGGGCGUAAAGCGCACGCAGGCGGCCCGGCGCGUGGGGUGUGAAAGCUGGCGGCUUAACUGCCAGACGCCAUCCCAUACGGCUGGGCUCGAGCCCUGCAGAGGUCCAUGGAAUUGCCGGUGUAGUGGUGAAAUGCGUAGAGAUCGGCAGGAACACCCAGGGGGAAACCAGUGGACUGGGCAGGAGCUGACGCUCAGGUGCGAAAGCGUGGGGAGCGAACCGG
This 253-nucleotide ribosomal RNA is filed under the name uncultured bacterium. RNAcentral describes it as "partial 16S ribosomal RNA". It matches the Rfam family "Bacterial small subunit ribosomal RNA", at positions 524 to 776 of the family's 1533-position model. The record is from RNAcentral.